UAUGGCGACCGGCGCACGGGUGAGUAGCACGUAUCCAACCUGCCGAUGACUCGGGGAUAGCCUUUCGAAAGAAAGAUUAAUACCCGAUGGCAUAGUUCUUCCGCAUGGUAGAACUAUUAAAGAAUUUCGGUCAUCGAUGGGGAUGCGUUCCAUUAGGUUGUUGGCGGGGUAACGGCCCACCAAGCCUUCGAUGGAUAGGGGUUCUGAGAGGAAGGUCCCCCACAUUGGAACUGAGACACGGUCCAA
This 246-nucleotide ribosomal RNA is filed under the name uncultured bacterium. RNAcentral describes it as "partial 16S ribosomal RNA". It matches the Rfam family "Bacterial small subunit ribosomal RNA", at positions 87 to 334 of the family's 1533-position model. The record is from RNAcentral.